Molecule: long non-coding RNA, 5073 nt
Organism: Diceros bicornis minor
Lineage: Eukaryota; Metazoa; Chordata; Mammalia; Perissodactyla; Rhinocerotidae
Exons: 4
Source: RefSeq, a predicted model, not a curated record
CGCAGCUGCCUAAAAAGGCAUGCCUCUCCCCCGCCGCCGCCUCCAGCCAGCCUAGUGCCUCUGAGGGUUACCUGCACAGGCUCCGCCUGGCACCGCGCUCGGCACUCACGGGCACUCAGGCCCGCGUCCGCGGCAGGGAUGCAGGAAUGUGAACGGCCGUGAGUGACGGGGAGGGGAGUCCGGGCGCCUGGCCCCGCGGAAGUGAGUCUUUGUGUACCCCGCUCAAACACACCCUCCUGCCGCGCCAAAGGCCGGGCUACCUGCGCGCGAGGCAGCGCCCGCGAGCCGGCCGGGUGGGGCGCAGGGGAGCGCAGCAUCCUCCCCGGCCCGCUGCUCCCUUUGUUCCUCCCGCUCGGCCCGGCUCCGCGCUGCCGCCUGGCCGUCGUUCCCGGGAGCUUCUCCGAGGCGCCCGAGGGUCGGGGCUGGACUUGGGAGCGGACACCUUCCACUUGGGAAGGUCCGCCCGCCGAGUCGGGUGAAGGAAUUCCCUAGAGGCCCCGGUCGCUCCCCGCCGCCGACCCCUAGCCCGAGAAGGACGGAAAGUUCUCGGGACGGUGGCGCCCGCGGCUGCUCGCCGGGCACGUGCAGACCGGCCGCGGGGGCGGGCGGCGGCCAUGGGCCGGGCAGCUGGAGCCGCAGAUCCGGUGUCCGUCUGCUCGGGUGCGGAAUGUCCAUUCGUCACCGCGGCCCUCUUGCGCUUCCGAGGCGGCCGCAGCUGGUCCCGGGUCCCGGGACCCGAGAUCGCGCCGCCCUUUGUUUGCUGGGUUCCUCCACUGACCUGUUUUGUGCCCACUGUUGACCGAUGACAGCUGUGUUUCACAGGGAACAUUCUCCCAUCUUCAGGAACUUGUCCUUGGUUAGCAGUCGAUCAGGAAGCUCGGUGAGACUGAACAUACAAACCAACAACAUCCAGACCAUAUAUGACGAUAAAACUCUGUUGGGGAAGAGGGAGAAUCCCCCUCCGCCCUUUCCCUUAACAUUCUUAUGGCUGGCCAAAUAAAAGACAGGUUAGCAGGAGAAGAUAAUACCUAGUUUAAUAACAUGUGUACAUGGGAGAAACCAGGGAAACUGAAUUUCUCGACAAAUGGCGAAAGUUUUCACCUUAAAUAGCAUAUUCAGGUAGACAAAGGAGGAUGUUGGGGGCGGGUAGUGGGUUGGAAUUUCAGAAGGGAAGAAGACAAUUCACAUGAAGAGAGAAGUAUAAAUCUUUGUCAGACAGUUCUUUGACAGACAACUUUCUUGUCAGACAACCUAUACAGAAUGUGGCCGGAGAGACAGGAAUUAUAGUAAUCAAGAGUAUGUAGAUUUAAGUCCUCUUCUUCCGUCCUGAUAAGAGUUUCCAUAGAAAAGGUCAUCUCCCCCCUCUUCCCAAUACACAGAGGGAGAUACCUUUACAAAUGUGAAUAUUUGAUAAACAGAACUUUGAAAAGAAUGGGCUUAGUGAGGACCCUGCCAGUCUGUCCAUACCCAGAGUUAUAAAUUCCUUUAGGCAGUUAGUGGGGGAGGUCAAAUGUCUGUCAGAGAAAAUAAUCAAGGUAAAGAGAGAUAUUUUGGGGUGGCCAAAUUUUGAUCUUCCACGAUCAUGACCCAAAAUCUGCAGCAACCAGACCAGGAAGCCAAACCACAGCCUUUGUACAAUCAGCCCCAGUCAGGGCUUGAUAACAGCCAGCUUCUCAAAUUCUUGCCCCCACUUCCAACUUAAGACUGUACAUAGAAAGCCAAAUAUGUUCCCCUAACUAAUCACAUAAGAUGUCCCAUUUCUGGUUAGCGCAUGGUUAUGAGCUGAAUUAUGUCUCUCUAAAAUUCGUAUGUUGAAGCCCUAAAACCCUGUAUCUCAGAAUAUGACUGUAUUUGGAGACAUGGCCUUUUGAGAGGUAAUUAAUUUAAAAUGAAGUCAUUUGGGUGGGCCCUAAUCCAAUGUGACUGGUGUUCUUAUGAGAAGAGGAGAUUAGGAUACACAGAGAGACACCAAGGAUACCAUCUCGCAGAGAAAAGACCACUUGAGGACACAGCCGGAAGAUGGCCGUCUGCAAGCCAAGGAGAGAGGCCUCAGAAGGAACCAACUUGGCUGAAACGUUGGUCUUGAACUUACAGCCUCCAGAACUUUUACAUAGGUUGUGGAGGAUGUCCUAUCUAUUGAAUCCUUGAGAAAUGAGAAGAGGAAAAAUGCAUGCACAUUCAUGAUUUGACUUUUUUGGAGAAUAAUAAUAUCCAUUAAGAACAUUCUUGAAGGAAGAGUUCAGUGAUGUCAGCGUGGGUUGUCCUCCUGCAGGUGGGUUACGUUCCAUAGAUGUCUUCCUGAGCAAGAGAGCAGAAGACCUGUACGUGUGGCCUGGGGCCUCAAAGCCUCUCAAAACAGGUUCCUGAAGUCAAAACUAUUUUCAUAAUAAUACUAGAUGUUAUUUUCCCUUUUUACUCUCAUUCUCUUGUGAGCGUAUGGUGGAGUUUUCUAGAGGCUGUGUGAUUGAUAUGCAGAUGGAUUGCAGAAGCACUUAUGAGAAUUCACUUGUAUUUUAAAUCAGACAUGAAAGCAAUUUGCAAAAAUGUGAAGCAGUGUGAUUCUUCUUCCGAGAUUUUGUUUGGUUUUGUUUUGGAAAAUAUAGUUACCUUUUCACAAAAAUAUGUUACUUGUGUUAAAAUAUAAUAGCUUAAUAUUGUUAUUUUUAAAUAAUUAAAUAUUUAAAAUUUCUCAGUUUUCAUUUUGGUAAAUAUGCAAUAGAUAUAACCCACAUGAAUAGCAGCUCUUGAGGGUCCUCAAUAAUUUUUGAGUGGAAAGAAGUCCCAAGAUGAAAAAGUUUGAGAACCGUGAUGCUAUAGGGUUGGAGUAUAUUUGACCAUGAAAAUGUUCUAAAAUGUGGUGAGAUUCCGUGGCUGGUUGACAAUAGCCUGAGCUUAAACUCCCUCAAUAAUUGCCGAGGACCCUGGCCACUGCCCCUCGGGGCUGCGUGACCUGACUCUCCUGCUGCAUCCCUCUUCCUAACACCACCACUCCCCUGCUCCCUGUGCUCGGGGGCCAUCCUGCCUCGGUCUUGGCUCUCUUCUUUCUGUUGCGUCCGCCAGCUCAUUUCUUUCCAUCCUUCACACCUCGACUUAAAUCUCAUUUUCUCAGAGAAAACUUACUGAUACCCCAGACCAUAUUAAGUCCUUUUAAAAUGUGGCUUCAUGGCACACAGUAUUUUUGUUGCAUGUAACGAAACUGCAACAACACUCAACAAAUAUUUACUGUCUUCUACAUGCCAGGACCUGUUCUAGGUGCCGGGAAAUACCAGUGAAAAAUACAAUAAGAGUCCCAGGCCUCGUGGAGCUUAUGUUCUGGUGCAGAGUUGGGAAGAGACGGACAGUAAGCAAAUAAAUACAUAAAUUAUAUAGUAUGCCAGAUGAUAAUAAGAGCUAUAGAGAAAAAUGAAGCAGGAAAGGGAGAUAGGGAAUGCCGGGAAUGGGAGAGUUGCUAUUUUUGAAAGUCUGAUCAGGGAAAGCCUCAUUGAGAAGGUGAUGGAGCAAAACCCAGGAGAGAAGGAGAAUGGAGAACAGCAGACAGCAAUGAUAAUGGAUGCUAUUUAUUUAUUAAAUAUUAUAAAGAAGUAUAUACUUUUAAAGCAUAACUAUGUACUUUCUGUGGCAUCUCUUUCCCCUGCUUGAAUCAAUGAAAGGAUGUCGUCUCUCGGAUUCAGUGCUCUAUAAAUGUGCUUUAGGUGGAUCCAAAUGAACGCGCUAGCUCUGCCUCCUUUACCUCCCCUUCACUCCUCGGCCCUGCGCCCCACGGCGUCCACCUGGACGCUGUCCUCUUUCUCCUAAAGUCUGGGUGCUCUUCCAGUAAUCUCUGUGGGUUGUUUCCCUCCACUCGUCCUGUAAGUGGAGGCUUUCCUUGGUGCUGGGCUCGGCCUCUCUAGCGUUCAGCCUCAGGGCACUAGCAGCACCUCUAGGAUGAUGUCCCCUGCAUGAGGCACCCACUGCCCUCUUCCCCAGGCCAGCACCAGGCAUGUGUCUGCCUGCUGGGCAUCUAGAACUCCUCAGGCCUACAGUUAAACUCAUUAUCUUUGUCUUAGUCGCUUCCGGCUGCCAUAACAAAAAUACCAUAGACAGGUGGUAAACGGCAGAAAUUUAUUUCUCACGGUUCUGGAGGAUGGAAGUCUAAGAUCAGGGUGCUGGCAGAUUCAGUUUCUGGUGAGGGCCCUCUUCCUGGCUUGGGGAUGGCAGCCUUCUUGCUGUGUCCUCACAUGGUGGAGACAGGAAGCUCUGGUGUCUCUUCCUCUUCUUAUAAAGACACUAAUCCCAUCAGGAGGCUCCACCCGUAUGACCUCAUCUAAACCUAAUUAUGUCCCAAAGAUACCACCUCCAAACACUGUCUCACUGGGGAUUAGCGCUUCAAUGUAGGAUUUGGGGGGACAUAAAUAUUCAGUCCAUAGCAAGGCCCUUACAUAAACUUGCUUCUUCCCCAAGGAGCCCCAUCUCUGUUUUCAAUGGGCAGAGUUUGUGGUCCUGAGGGAAUAUGGGUAAUAACUGUUACCCUGGUGUGCAAUCUUAGAAGAGUUGCCUGGGUGUGUAUACCAAGGGGCAUAGAUUCGUAAGGCUUCUCUUAAAAACAAAAUCUGAAAACAGCCUGGAAUGUACUGGCUUAGCCUCUCAAACUCUAAAAGGAGCAAGGUUUUAGGCUAUCAGUACUAAAUAUGGUUUAACAUUGACAGAAAAAUGAAACAGUGGUGGAUACCAGCAGUAUAUGUUAAAAGGUUAACUGACACAUAGACAAAAACUGAGCCUUAAUUUAUCCUUCUCACCUAACACUAGCGAAAAGAAUUCUAAACUCAAGUCAGGAGGUAGCUUGGUUAAUGGCCUCACCUUCUACUCAGUGACCCAAGCUAAGAAGCUGGAAGUCAAACAUACACAUCCCUUUAUCUCCAAUAUCUAAUUAAAUUAUUUAACUCCUAUAUUUACACCAUCUCUUAAAAAUAUUCCAUUCUGCUUCUAUUGCUUUGGGUCAGAUUCUUAUCAUCUCACACCCAGCUAUUGUACAGUCUGGUCGUCCUACCUCUAAUUUCUCCCCAAUUCAAUCCAUCCUUCAUGGCCACCAUAUUG